RNAcentral lists this unclassified non-coding RNA (8759 nucleotides) under Mizuhopecten yessoensis (Yesso scallop). RNAcentral describes it as "tyrosine-protein phosphatase non-receptor type 12- like, transcript variant X6". Lineage: Eukaryota; Metazoa; Mollusca; Bivalvia; Pectinida; Pectinidae. The record is from RNAcentral.
UACGAUAAACACAGUGUACAGGUAUAUACGGUAGUCUAAAAUUACAUUACACCGACAAACAGGAACACAAAAGAUGUAAGUCACGUGAUCUGAAAUUACUUCCUUAUUGAGAGAAAUGUAGUUGACGUUUUGUGGUUUGCGUUACACAAUGGAUGAGAGAGCGGUUCAGCUGCAGAAAAACUUGUCAAAGUUCAUCAACCAUGUUGACGAACUUACUAACGAGGACGACCCGGCGGGGAACGGUUUCAACCGCGAGUAUAGGGACCUACGUGAGAUAGCAGCACAACACAAGGAGAAUAACACAUUCUCCUCAACAGCUGGGAGGGAGCCGCACAACCUGAGGAAAAACCGAUACAAGGACAUCAUUGCCUAUGACUACUCCCGAGUUAAGCUGCAGGACACUGGUGAGGAGGGAUCAGAUUACAUCAACGCCAACCUCAUUCAGGACCCCUAUGAUAAGGACGGCUACAUCGCCUCCCAGGGUCCCCUGCCCAACACUGUGAAUGAUUUCUGGAGAAUGAUUAUGGAGAAUAGGGUCAAAGUGGUUAUAAUGGCCUGUAAACUCAUAGAGGGUAACAAGAAAAAAUGUGCGGUCUAUUGGCCUGAGUUGGUUGGAGAUGAGGAAGACUAUGGAAAUGUCACUGUCACAAUGACAAAUGAGAGUGAUAUGAAGGAAGACUGUACUGUGAGGGUAUUUGAAGCAUCGUACGGUGACCAGUCCCACCAAGUUACACAGUACCACUACACGGGUUGGCCCGACCACGGCAUCCCCGAGGACCGUAAUGUUAUCCUAGCCAUGGUCGCCAAGAUGAGAGACAUUCGCCACAAGGAUGCAGAAAAAGCCCCAAUAUUGGUCCACUGCAGUGCUGGUUGUGGACGAACUGGAACAGUUUGUGCUAUUGACUAUGCCUGGGAGCUUCUAAGGGGUGGGAAACUGACUGCAGACUUUGAGUUGAAGCAGAUUGUGGAGGCGAUGAGAGAACAGCGUCAGUCCAUGAUACAAACACCGGACCAGUAUGAAAUGGCACACCUAGCUGUUAGAGACUUGUUCCAGAAACACCUUGAAAUCAUGGAGGAAAACAUCUACAUGAAUUAUGGGGAUGACAUUGAAGAGCAAGAUGCCCUGGAUAGCCUACACAUGGUUACCGAUUCUGUGAGCGAUUCUUCUACGACCAGAGAUGACGAAGAAGAUAUUUAUUCAUCAGCAGUCAAAGUUUUACAUGACAGCUUGAUGGACACUGUUAACAUGUAUACAACUAAUGAGGAGGAGAUACCUGGCGAUAUUUUACAGCCCAUAGUUCAAACUCCUUCACCAAAACCUCCACUUCCAUCAACAACCAAACCUGCCCCUCCCGCAGAUAAACCAGGAGUACCUUCAAAGGACAUUAGCUUGACAGGCAAUCUUAAUGAGGACAAGAAGCCAGAUGUGAAACAUAAGUACCAGAAUGUGGGCGUGGCUGCUACUUCGUAUGAGAAUAUGGAUUUAGUAGUGGUAAAAGAAGAGGAAAGCUCUAAUAUAUCAAAAUCUACACCACCCCAGGGCAGUAAAUUUUCCCCACAGAUAAUAAAGAAAAUGACCCCCCCUUUAUCUCCUGUUAAAAAACAGCAAACUGGCCCGAUAUUUACAGGGAAACAGGCAGAAGGCUCUGUGAUAACAGGGAAAAAAUCAGACAGUCCUGUGGAAACAGAUACCUCUGGUACCUCUUUUUAUUCUGUGGCAAGUGAUGAACCUUCUAAACCAGGUUCCUCUGGUCUACAAUCUGGACCAACUUCCGCACCCUCUGGACCUUCUUGGUCUCCCGCACCAUCGAAGCAAAAGCCAAAGUCAGUCAGCACCCCACCACUGGCAACUAAAUUUCCAAAGGAAUCCGUCUUACAGACCCAAACUAUUCCAAGUGUCAAACAAACACAUGUACCUUCAACAGGGGCAAAAGCCCCAGCAAGCAAUGGCAAACAUGUUACAAAAAUCACAGUGGGCGGGGCAAUGACAUCUGCGCCAAGUAAUAAAACGGCUACAGAAACAAACAACAACUUGUUCUCAGUAGCAACUAACUCAAGAGAUGAGAAACCCAGUGGACCUAGUACAGGAGGAGACGUUUAUUCAGAGGUUCAGAGAAAUAAUAAAGAGUCUUCUUCCUCCAUCAAGAGGUCAAGUAAACGUCAAUCAAAACCUACUCAAGCCCCACAACAGGAUGUAUACUCGCAAGUUAGUCGUCCAACUGAAAUCGCUUUUAAAGGUCAUAUUCUGGGCGGGGAUGGAUCUUACUCUGAUGUGGUGAUAGGACAGCCUGCUAAUGUUGAUGACAGCCUGUACUCCUAUGUAGCGGUGAAUCCUUCAUCUCCUGAUGCUGCCCCACCAGAGGUUCCAAAUCGACGCUACCUUGAUCCCCCACAAGAACCCCCACCGAGAGGUCCGGUUCAUACAGAUACUAGCAAUGCAACACUCAAUAAGGGUGCAUCUCUUACUGAACAGAAUCGAUUCAAAGGUUUGAUCACCAAGCAAUUUGACACAUUAAACAAAAUGAUAAAGGGUGGCACUACAGAUCACCAGUACACUGAUACUAGUAAUAUCAAAGGAUUCCAUGAGAGGAUAGGCCAGAAGCCAAUGGGAAAGAGAGAGGAACCGUCACGAUGGAAGAAAAUAUUUAAAAAAGUUAAAUAACUGCGAACAGUCCUUUUAUAUCACAAGUCUUUCAAAUCCACGAGUUUAUACCAUAUCCUGUUGUAUUACCUAAAAUAGCAGAUUUCAUUAUUCCAUUUUUUUUUGUAUUGUGUUUGUGAAAUAGUUCUAUAAUUAUGUAAAUUGUAUUGCAUAUGUUUUUUUCUUUAAGAUUAAGUAACAGAAUGUAAGGACCAAAAUAUAUGCCUUGCAUGUUUAUUUACAUGUUUAUUUACAUGUUUAUUUGCAAUACAAAUGUUGAAACAAAUUUUCUUCUAUCUUCCGUUUGUGUAAGCUGAAGCUGAAAUGUUCAUAAUCUCGUUGACAUUAGUUGAAAUGUGCCUUAUCUCCCUUGGUGUGAGUUGAAAUGUGUUAUCUCCCUUGGUGUUAGGUGAAAUGUGCCUUAUCUCCCUUGGUGUUAGGUGAAAUGUGCCUUCUCUCCCUUGGUGUUAGGUGAAAUGUGCCUUAUCUUCCUUGGUGUUAGGUGAAAUGUGCCUUAUCUUCCUUGGAGGAAUGUGAAAUGUGUUAUCUCCCUUGGUGUGAGGUGAAAUGUGUUAUCUUCCUUGGUGUUAGGUGAAAUGUGCCCUAUCUUCCUUGGAGUAAUGUGAAAUGUGUUAUCUCCCUUGGUGUAAGGUGAAAUGUGUUAUCUUCCUUGGUGUUUGGCGAAAUGUGCCUUAUCUCCCUUGGUGUUUGGCGAAAUGUGCCUUAUCUCACUUGGUGUUUGGUGAAAUGUGCCAUGUUGCUUUUGACAUAAGCUGAGCAAUGCCUAUUUUAUAUAUAAAAUAUCAUGCAGUUUACAAUAGCACUAUAUUUCAAUGAUAGAAGUGAAUAAUAACUCAUGCUUGUAAUAUUUAUAACUAUAUAUAGACAAUACAGGAUGUAAAAACAUAGUGGCAGGUACAAUUAUAUAUCAAGGAUAACCAAUUCAAUAAACCAGUAUGAAUAGAGAGGUUAGUGUUAACAUAUGUGAAAAAAUAUGUGAAAAAAUCUACAUAUGUAAAAUGUAUUCAUUCCUUUAUCAGUAUAUUAUCCAUUAAAAAAGUUUAUAAACUUUUUAAUAAGCCAUUGUACUUAAAUAAUUUAGAGUCUGUACUAUUAGCCAUUUUUUACAAACUGGUAUUCUCAAAAUUUGCACAUCAAAUGGUAAAACAACUUUUGAAACCUGCAAUAUUCUUGUGUCAUUGAAUGGGUGAAAUAUGUAUAAGCUUAUUUAGAAUAAUGGAAUACAACAAAACAAUAUAGAAAACAAUAGAGAAAUGGAAAGUGUAAUCCGGUCAAUAUGCUCAGGUAAAAUGUUAAAUGAGUACUGAGUAUGAGUGUUGUAUCUGGCAAGUGUACAGCAUAUUAAAUCUCCGACCUAAGAUUAAAUUGGGUAAUGUACAAAAUUAUAUCUGAUAUAUUGAAAGGAAAUUUUAAAAGCAAAGUUGGAUUGAUGUUUGUAAAACAUAUGCUUGUUUGAAAUGUUAUUGUUUGGUAAUUGUGUUUGUUGUGUGUAAAUUAAGUGUAAUGUAUAUAAUUUUAAUUUAUGGGGUCAAAUCUUUUUGCCUGUUGCAAAUAUAUCGAAGCCAAAAGGUGCUUCCAGACUUUUUUUCUGACAUGAAGCUGUGAGUUUUAAGCCACGUAAAUCCAUCAACUGCAAAUUAAGGUAAGCUUUUGUACACAUGGACAAAAUUUACUCUUGAUUUUUGUCCCGAAUAGUACUUGUUGAGGCCUCCGUUUGAACUGUAAAUUGCUAUGUUUUUUUGUAUGGAAGGACCUCUUGGGAUGGCAGAAAAGAGGACUCAUAUUAGGUUUUAUGCCUUUUGUGGGCCUCAUCUCAUACACUCUCUCAGCUACAAUUGGUAAAUAUUGCAUUUGAGAACCGGGUACCUCCUCGAAUGACAGAGUGUCACAUACAAUGUACUAUAAUCAGGACUCACUUUACUUUUAACAGAGUUAUCUCCCUUUAUUUAUUAUGUGGCAGAAUUUGGAUUGUUUUAAAUAAGUAUUUUUAUUUCAAUGUAUAUAAAUUACAUGUCCUUUGUACAACGAAAUGAUAUUUUGUAAAGUUCAACAAGAUUGGCUCAGUAAAUACAGAUUAAGUAGAAUUACAUAACAUUACAAUAAGCUUUGUGAGUUUUUCUUAUAUUAUCAAUGAUAUUAAGAUGUAUGUUACUUCUCUACAUUAGCUGUCGGUACAGUAGCGGCCAUCACACCGUUCACAUCCACCACAAUGAAUCUAUUGUACAUUUAUGUUUGCUAAUUCAUAAGAGUUUAAAAGGACAUUAACUCUUAUGAGGAUGCAUCAACAAUACUUGUAUAAAACAACAUCAUUUUGAACCUGUAUUACUAUAGAAAUAACAUGUUUUGGCUUGAAUUGAUAUUUUGACCAUUAUGUUUCAACUCUCCCAAGAUAAUGUAGAUAAAGUAUAAAAAGAAAAAAAUCCCCACAACCAGUCUUAAGUACUUUCAUCUCGUCAAGGAGAUUCUUCAGAAUAUAUAUACACAAUAGUUUAGAAGACUGAUCCCAAUUAUCUUUAGCCCAUAUAAACAUUGAAUUUUAUUUGGAUAUAUUCCUGUUUGUGUGUUGUUAUAUAGAAUCAUGAAUUUGUGAAGUCUCAUAAAUUUGUGAAGUCUCUCUUUAGAAUAGUCCUCAAUUACAGUAGUACCCUUACUAAGCUAUCUAGUAGAAGUUUUACAACAGUAGAUAGGAUUAUGUUAAACGUACACUGUAUUAUAUUAUAAGGAUAUUCAAAAACAAAUUAAUGAAUGUGUUCUGUUUAUAUAUACAGCUGUUGAAGCUUAUUAUGUUAUAGUUUUACACGUAUGUUUCCUUUUUCUGUGUUUGUUUAUUGUGUUUGGUGCUCAGUGAAACCUGACAGUGAAAUUGUGGUUAAAGUUUUAGUGUUCUACCUGUUACAGGUGUGGUCAAUGUUCUACCUGUGACAGGUGUGGUCAAUGUUCUACCUGUGACAGGUGUGGUCAAUGUUCUACUUGUGACAGGUGUGGUAAAUGUUCUUCCUGUGACAGGUGUGGCCAAUGUUCUACCUGUUACAGGUGUGGCCAAUGUUUUACCUGUGACAGGUGUGGUUUAUGUUCUACCUGUGACAUGUGUGGCCAAUUUUUCUACCUGUUACAGGUGUGGUUUGUGUUCUACCUGUGACAGGUGUAGUCAAUGUUUUACCUGUGACAGGUGUGGUUAAUGUUCUACCUGUGACAGGUGUAGGUCAAUGUUUUACCUGUGACAGGUGUGGUUAAUGUUCUACCUGUGACAGGUGUAGGUCAAUGUUUUACCUGUGACAGGUGUGGUUAAUGUUCUACCUGUGACAUGUGUGGCCAAUUUUCUACCUGUUACAGGUGUGGUUUGUGUUCUUCCUGUGGCAGGUGUGGUUUGUGUUCUACCUGUGAUAGGUGUGGUCAAUGUUCUACCUGUGACAGGUGUGGCCAAUUUUCUACCUGUUACAGGUAUGGUUUGUUUUCUUCCUGUGACAGGUGUGGCCAAUGUUCUACCUGUGACAGGUGUGGCCAAUGUUCUACCUGUGACAGGUGAGGUAAAAUAUUUAAUGUUCAACAUGUGCCAGGUAUGGUCAAUUUUCUACCUGUGACAGGUGUGGUUUGUGUUCUACCCCUUGACAGAUGUGAUCAAUUUUCUACCUUUGACAGGUGAGGUAAAAUAUUUAGUGUUCUACCUGUGACAGGUGAGAUAAAAAUCAAUAAUUUUCUUUCUGGGAUAUAUUUCCAUAUCCAUGACAAGGAGUGUCUUAUUUGUGUAGGAUUGUAUUAUAAAUAUGUACACUAAACCUGUUCCUUCAUUUUGUAAUUAUGGAUAAGAUAGCAGACCAUCCAGUUGUGUAAUUUCUGAUAGUUAGAUUAUCUGACAAGGAUCUCCAGUCUUCUGAUAAAGUAGACAGAUCUACAAUAUUGAUAUGUGUUGUACUGAUUGAAGCAAACUGAUAUUACUUGAAUUUAUAAUCUGAUAUGUUCACACAGAUGUAUCAGACUGAAGUGACCCCUGUCAUUAAUAACCCCUGUUGUCAGUGACCCGAGUAGGAACUAAGGUCAUUUGAUUGACAGUGUGUCAGUUUAGCCAGGUCCUGGUCAUUCAGAGCUUUACCAGUGAUUAACACGAGUUUUCAGAAAGUUAUUUUUGAGCGCAGUCAAACUCUACAAAUAUGUUUGAGUUUGAUGUCAAAAUACAAAAUAGGAUACUCCUGAUCAGUCCUUAUUUAUAUAAAUUCAGUUUUGAAUUUCAAUAUUUUUAAAGAUAUACUGGUUUAAAAGUUAAAAAAUUGUUGUGAAUUUUUUUAAGGUGAUUAGCGUUGAACCACUGGGCCAAGGUCUUUUGGGAUGACAAAAUCAGAUGUAAUAUUACAGAAUGAAGCUAAACUCCGGUUUCAGUAAGGACAGGUAUCGGUAAAGACAGGUUUCAGUAAAUCUGUGAUGAUAUGAGGUGUCAGUUUAAUCAGGUGUUUGUAAAAUCAUGGAGUUCACUGGUUUGUGAAUAUAUAACAUUGAAGCAUUAUCCUUUUUACCAGCUUUAAAAAAUAUUUUCUCGACCAAAUUUCAUUGAUAAACUAUUUUCCUGUCACUUUUAUUGACAAUUAUUUGGAGUCUACUUUUACAUACAUGUAUGUGAUGGUGUUUUUGAGAAACUGUACCUAUGUGGUAACAAUGCUUUGUAUAAAGUUUUUUAAGAAGAAAAAUAUUGUGAAAAUGAAUUGACUAAUUGACAAAAUCUGUUUAUACUCGAGUGACAACAAAUUUAAAGAAAAAUGUACUUCAUCCAUACAUAUAACUUAUAUAAUGUGAUAGGUGUCUUGCAGACAAGGAAGAUAUUAUAUAUAUAUAAAUUCAUGUAGAUAGUUAUCAGCACUGUACUGUUAAUGGUACCUGUUAAGUCUAUAUAGCAUGAUAGUUUGUUGCAUUCAGAGGAAUAUGUGUUGUUAUACCUAUUUAUAUAUUUACAUCAUUCCAAUUGACAGCCCCAAGCUUUAGAGGUGCUCAGACUGUUAACUCAUUCACCCCUGAAAACACAUUUGAACUCUUCCAAUUCAAUGGUUGGAAAAGUUCAUUAUGAAAUUGUAGGGGUGAAUGAGAUAAUUCACUCAUUCGUCCCUAAAAUUUGAAAAUGAACUAUUCCAAUCUAUUUCUACCUUCAUUGUAAAGUCAGAGGCAUAUGAGAAACAGGCUUACAUUAGGUCAAGUUCAAUUUAUUAUAAUGUCUGGUUUAGUCAAAUGUCUCGGUCAAUCUAAACACAUUUAAACAAGGAAGAAACAUCUGAUCUGCUGUUAUUAAUUCUGUUAAAUAGAUAGAACAUUUACAAAAAUAUGAUUUACAAUAAUUACCACUUUACUCUCAAUUAUCUAGAACUUUGACCUCCAUAGAUAGGACAUUUCUGGAUUACUGUAAAAAUAGCGCUCUUAUGGUAUGUGUUUAUUGUAAAAAAAUCAAAAUCAAAUCCUUACAUGCAUAUCUUGUUCAUCUUAAAAUCACACUUAUAUUUGUGUGGGAGACUGCAUCAGGCUUUGUUGAUAUACAGUGUUUGUAGUGUGUGUCUAUAUUGAGAUUCAGCAGGAGGUGAUAUGUAGUCAUUGCCCUGUGACUUAUGAGAUUCCUUCAUCACAAUAAGAAUAUCCGGCUGAUCGUUUUAAAAAAGAUUAUCUUGACCCGAGUAGCUUUCUGAAAUGAUGACGUGCAAGUUUCUAUUUUAUUUUACCUGAAGUUAUGGCAAUACCUAUGCAAUACCAUGUGUUUCUUUAUUACAUUUUUUGUCAACUGUCGCUUUACUUCUUAUAAAGAACAUGCAGAGAAAAACUAAAUCGAGUUGACCAUUUGGAUUAAAAUCGAUUUGCAAAAUUGAGUUUGGUCAUUGACAAAAUUUCAUACAACAUUUUCCAUAUUUACAUGAUAUGAGAUGUUAGCAUGAAUUGUAAUGAGGGCAUAUCUGAAGUUUGUUGCCAGCCGUAUACUUGAGUUAAAACACACAUACUGUUUAAGUGCUAAGCUUACAUAUAAACCAUUAUAUCUGUAACGUUAUUAAAUAUAGAAAAGGAGUUAUAUGUAUUUUUCAUGUUAAAUAUAUUCUAUAUCAUACCAAAUAAAUGCUGCAUAUAUAUCGUU